RNAcentral lists this ribosomal RNA (440 nucleotides) under uncultured bacterium. RNAcentral describes it as "partial 16S ribosomal RNA". It matches the Rfam family "Bacterial small subunit ribosomal RNA", at positions 338 to 795 of the family's 1533-position model. The record is from RNAcentral.
CCUACGGGAGGCAGCAGUGGGGACUAUUGCACAAUGGGGGAAACCCUGAUGCAGCGACGCCGCGUGAGUGAAGAAGUAUUUCGGUAUGUAAAGCUCUAUCAGCAGGGAAGUUAAUGACGGUACCUGAGUAAGAAGCCCCGGCUAACUACGUGCCAGCAGCCGCGGGAAGACGUAGGGGGCACGCGUUCUCCGGAUUUACUGGGGGUAAAGGGAGCGUAGACGGCAUGGCAAGUCUGAAGUGAAAGCGCGGGGUUCAACCGUAGGAAUGCUUUGGAAACUGUUAAGCUGGAGUGCAGGAGAGGUAAGUGGAAUUCCUAGUGUAGCGGUGAAAUGCGUAGAUAUUAGGAGGAACACCAGUGGCGAAGGCGGCUUACUGGACUGCAACUGACGUUGAGGCUCGAAAGCGUGGGGAGCAAACAGGAUUAGAUACCCGAGUAGUC